GUGCUCGCUUCAACAGCACAUGUCCUAGCAUUGGAAUGAUACAGACAUUAGCGUGGCCCGUGUGCAAGGAGGACACGCUAAUUUGUGAAGGCAUCACGAGUAAU
Molecule: small nuclear RNA, 104 nt
Organism: Ursus americanus (American black bear)
Lineage: Eukaryota; Metazoa; Chordata; Mammalia; Carnivora; Ursidae
Source: Ensembl